GAAGUAGUCACAACGACGACAUCACUAGCUAGGCCGCAUAUUCCAUCGCCAGAUCCGAACCAAGCGAAGUGAAGGAAGACGGGUGUCCUUUUCGUACACUGAGUGUGGUGGAUAAACCCCCGCCUUCACGCACUUCGUCGCGGGAGGACAAGGAGACUGCUGGUCCUAGCCUAGUUCAGUACAGUAUAUGUUGUGAGCGUGCUUCAGAUCUCCGGAGAUAGCACAGUACGCUGUGUCCAGCCCAGAGGUGAAAGCCAUCCAAAGCAGAGUAACUGUGCUAUUGUGCCCAAGUUGAUACCUGUGGAGAGAAAAGGAGAGAGAGUGAAUAACACGAGGAGGAAUAGAGCGAACCCUGUACUUACAGUACGCUGUGUCCAGCCCAGAGGUGAGAGCCAUUCAAAGCAAACUAACUGUGCUAUUGUGCCCAAGUUGAUACCUGUGGAGAGAAAAGGAGAGAGAGUGGGUAACACGAGGAGAGACCGAGGAAACCUGUACUUACGCCGCUGCCUGUGGAGAAAGAGAAAGCGACCGUUGCCUGUGGAGGAAGAGAAAGAGAGUGAGCACCCCGAGAACGAACUGUGUGAACCAGUACUUACCGUGAGCUGUAUUCAGCGAAGAGGAGGAAGAAGGAGGGCGCUACGGAUACCUAAGACUCAGGCCGGGGCCCGAGUCCCACGCCCCGGAUCCCCGUGGCCCCCUUGCUCCCUGACCUCUUCCCGGCCAUAGCCCAUCUGGAGGGCCGAGUCAGAGUUUAGUUUUAAUUGCCCUUUUCCUAUUCCCCAAGCUAUUUUUAAAUAUUUAAAUAAAGAUUGUUUUAUCACUUACUUGUUCUCG
Cyprinus carpio carpio is the source of this 834-nucleotide long non-coding RNA. NCBI's taxonomy places the organism in Eukaryota, Metazoa, Chordata, Actinopteri, Cypriniformes, Cyprinidae. The record is from Ensembl.